GUAGUGUAUAAAAUGUUAAAUUUGAAUUUGUUUCGCUGGGGCGGCGUGGAUAUAUAAAUAAACUGUCUAUACAUUAAAACCAGUAAUUAUUGAUUAAUGAAAUUGAUCCUUAAAAAGAUUAAAAGAUUAAGAUACCAUAGGGAUAACAGCGA
This 152-nucleotide ribosomal RNA is filed under the name Pagurus ochotensis (Alaskan hermit crab). Its description in RNAcentral is "partial large subunit ribosomal RNA". The record is from RNAcentral. Lineage: Eukaryota; Metazoa; Arthropoda; Malacostraca; Decapoda; Paguridae.